CACUAGGGAUGGGAAGUAGGGGAUGGAGGGGUUUGACUGGGGCUGCCCAGCAGGGAAGGUCGCUCUUCCGCCCUUGCGCAGGCACAUGGCAACCCAUGUCUCAGGGCAGAAAGGCACAGGAGUUUGGGCGAAGCAGGGUGACAAUGGCUCUCAGUGGCGAAGUCACCUCUCAGCAGAAGCCAGGAGAGGUGACUCCGGCGGGUCUCAGGGAUGUGGUCAGGGUGGACUUUGGUAGAGCUGUUGAACUGGUGGCAGCAGUGGGAAUAGGUCACCAGGCAGCGGGGCCUGGGCUCCGGGGCCUGGAUUGGGGAAGGCAGCUAAUUCCAACUGCCAUGGAAUGCCACUGGGGCGCUGCUGGCGAGUCUGGGGUCCCCCACCUGGGGACAGGAUGCAGCAUCGCUCUAAGAGCUCUCCGGGGCACAGGGGACGCGCCUCUCACGUGGAGGGUGACAGGCGUCCCGAUUUCGGUGAUAUUCCAGAGGACAGGGAGCCCAAUAUGUCUUCAAGGAAUAGGGUUUGCAGUAGGUUGGUGGGGAGCGGGGCAGAAAGCAAGGCGAAGCCCGCAGGUGGGCACUUCCCGCAGGAUGCCUGCUCUUUCCCAGCUCAGAACCUCACAGGGUUCCGUGGGGCAGGAUGGAGACACCUCACCUCGCAGCUGCCUGCAGGAUGCAGCAAGGGCAUUACCCUACAGGUGGAAUGGGACAUUUUUGAAGAAUUCACGAGGUCCCGUCCUAGGGGUCACCGACCGCUUUGGACACCUCGUGGUCCUCCUGGGUGCCUGGGAGAGGACAGGAGAGUCUGUUGAAGGCAGCAAGGGAAACUGAGAAGUUUGUACUAGCGCGAUGAAGCAGGAGGUGAGGCUCUGGGAUCGCACGACUGUCAUAAAAGAAGCCGAGGAACUUCCUCAUUCAUGUCUGCUUGAGGAAACGCUGCAGAAACUAGAGGCACGUUAUGCUGGAUGAGUUAAUAGCGCGCUUCCUUAUCGCUUGGGUAUUUGACGAAUUUGAGGUAACGCUCCUUGCUGCAAACAAGAACUAUCAAAUGUACACGGAAUGUACAUGUGGAUGCUUGCACGAGCUGAUUAGUGACGAGCAGAGAUGAAAUGAAAGGAGGCAGAAAAUAAGGAAGAAGAAGAUAAAUUGGCAUUUGAUUUAUCUGGAGGACGGGAAAGUGUGAAAGAAAAUUGAUUAGAAGUAGGGCUGGGAACGUAAAAAAGAUGAACCUGCAGCAUUUUAGAUUAUUCAAAAAGGAAGUUAGAGAGAAUUCUUGAGAAUGUCUUAGGCUGAAAACUUAGGACAGGGAACUGGCCAUUGGGUUUUAGAUAUGGAUUCCUAUCAGCUGCAGAAUAUAUAUAUAUAUUAGGAAUUGGGACUUUCUCAUGCUCUGCUGUUUGUCCUUUUUUGUAAGUUAAUGUAUCAUUCACCCAUCACUGCUGCUGGGGGAGUUUAAAAUGUGAAGAAUAGUAGGGUGAUCAAAGCAAGACCUUCCCAACAUCGAGAAAGUAGACAGAGUAGGUGUUGUCCCUGGAAGUCGCAGCAUGCUUUGUACUAGCACCGAAUGCAUCCACCGUCACCGUGGACCAUCCCCCUGCCUUGGCGAACGAAGUGGCCACCACUGUGCUGGCCUUCAGGAGGGGCCUAACUGCCCAUCUUCUGCGUGCCCCCUUCUGGGGGCCUCUGUUCUCAGCCAUCGGAGAAACUAAGGCAGCAUAUCCAAUUUCUGCUAGUGCAGGGAGAUUUAGAACCUGGGAAGAGAGGGGAUCUUAAUCCCCUUGGGGUGCCCGGAACUACUUUAGAUUUUAACCUCAACCCAAGAUAUGGGUGGGUCUAGACAACUGCGGAGAAAGAAUUUCUUCAGGAAUGGAAGCCGAGGGAGAGUUCUGACUCGUUUCAACAGCCGAAGCCCUGUGGAAUGAAGGAGAGAACCCAGACUGUCCCGAGCUGGGGCAAGCUGCCCCAUAUGCCCACACCACGAACCUAUAAUUUGAGCCUAUAAUUUGCAGAUGUGUAUCUUGUCAGUGUGCUCAGGCACCUCACGCUGUUCCUAACUGGGUCAACUUCUCUUUCCCCCCCUAAGAGGAGAAUAAGGGAAAGAACUAGACUCCAAAUUUCAGUUGAAGCAGCAAGGCAGUGUCCCGUACUUCGGUUUCGGGAGUAACUCCAUAUCAUCUUACACCUCCCAUAAUAAUCCACUCGAGGGCUGGCACCAGAGAAUUGAAAUAUGCUUAGAAAAAAUACUGACCUGAGAAUCAAAACAUUUUUUUUCCCAAGCCUCCAACUUUGUCAUUUCAUCGCAAUAGGUUCUAUAAAUAUACGUAACCUUCACCUACAGGAAGGAAUGGUAAUACCUUUCACGGAUAUCAAAAUUAAGUAUCAGGUCUGAGAAAAAUGUUUGUGACUGAUGAUUUACCCAUUUGCUUCAUGUUACUAUACUGUUUGAAACCUGAUUUAUACGUGAAAACUUUAUUUAUUUAUUUAUUUUAUUAAAGACUUUAUUUAUUCAUGAGAGACAGAGAGGGAGAAAGAGAGGCAGAGACACAGGCAGAGGGAGAAGCAGGCUCCAUACAGGGAGCCCGAUGUGGGACUUGAUCCCAGGAUCCCAGGACGAUGCCCUGGGCCGAAGGCAGGUGCUAAACCACUGAGCCACCCAGGGAUCCCUAUACGUGAAAACUUUAAACAUCAGUUAUAAGAACUUGCCGAAUGCUUACUGUGUGCCAGGCACGGCUCUAAAAAUAUUAUAUAUGUGUUGUCUAAUCCAUGCAAUCCUCACCUUUGUGAGGUAGAGACUAUUUGUUGUUCACAUGUCUCAGAUGAAUAAAUUAAGGCCUAAAGAAAUGAACUGACCUCAAGAUAAUACUGUUGCUGGAUGGAUAAUACAGAGCUGGAACUAGAAGUUCCAUCUGUCUCUCUAAAAAGCCUGGACCAUUUUGGCCUUUCGACUUCAGCAUCACGAGGGGCAAAUGGUUGGCAUCCCUAAAACCUAUGUAUCUGAUUUAUAAUAAUGUGAGGGAGGAGGAGGCUAAGGCUCUUCCGUACAGGGACUCAGUUAAAUUUGAAUUUCAAAUGAACAAUGAAUAAUUUUUCGACAUAAGUAUAUCUCAAAUAAAAUUAAGAGCAUAGUUAUACUCAAAUUUUUUUGUGUGUGUUUUGAUUUGCUAACUGUGACAACCCUGUUCUAUGAUGACAUCAGUCUCAGAUUUGUUUAGAACCUCCUAGAACCUGACCCUAUGAUUUGGUCUUGGGCUUAGCUGGGAUCCAGUGAGUGUUUCUGGAAGUGAAAGGGGGAUGCAGGCCAGGGGAGUGCCCAGGGCAUCUCUGCCCUGGGCCCUCGCUCCACCAAGCCUGGACAGGCUGCGGCUCCCCUCGUCCGCGGGGCCAUGUGAGACCUGCAGGUUUUCCCAGCCCCUGGCAGCAGCACCCCUUCUGUGACUGGGCCUUGGAGCAGGAGGCACGGGGGUCGUUGCCGUGUAAGAGCGUGCUGUUUCCAGGAACCAGAGGUUUGGACGGAACAGCGGCAGCGUAGCGGGGGAAUGUCCCAGGACUGCCUGGAAGAGCGAGGGGUGUGCAGGGAAUUUACAUGUAAAGACUGAAAAACAAUUCAUCCAGAGCCAAUUUCAGCUCAGACCAGGGGGAAAAUUGCU
RNA transcript from Canis lupus familiaris (dog), 3640 nucleotides. RefSeq lists it as uncharacterized. The transcript has 4 exons. The record is from RefSeq and is a predicted model, not a curated record. NCBI's taxonomy places the organism in Eukaryota, Metazoa, Chordata, Mammalia, Carnivora, Canidae.